GAGCCUCUGGCCCCCUUGGCCCCAUUGGUCUCUGUGCAGGAGGAACAAUUUCAGGCGCCUUCAAGAAACCCAGCUUAAGAGGGAAAAUUAGAGGCUUGUCGUCCGGUCGCUCUGCUCUGGGAGCUGAUCUAAGGAUGUACAGACCCAACUCAGUGAAUUCCGGCUGCCCUACUUGGAGGCGAUGUAGCUAUUCCCAAUUUAAAAAGAACCAAAGCUGAAAACCUAUGUCCACAGACAAACUUGUGCAUGAGUGUCCGUUGCAGCAUUACUCAUAAUGGCCCCAAAUGGAAGCUGCCCAAAGAGCCACUGACCCGUGAAGAAGGGACACACAGAUGUGGUGUCCACACAAUGGAGUAUUAUUCGGCCCUGAAAAGCUAUGCAGUUGUGAGGCAUGUUGCAGCGUGGAAGAGCCUGGAAAACACACUUUGGUUCCCGACUUAUAGGAAGAGGUUUCUAGACUCAGCAAGACACAGCCCUUCACCGUGCAUCCCUAUUAAACACACAUUAAAGAGCGAGGAAAGUUAAGCAGGCUGGUGAGGUGUUGGAGGCGCUGUCAGGUUUGUGCU
Globicephala melas (long-finned pilot whale) is the source of this 566-nucleotide long non-coding RNA. RefSeq lists it as uncharacterized. The record is from RefSeq and is a predicted model, not a curated record. NCBI's taxonomy places the organism in Eukaryota, Metazoa, Chordata, Mammalia, Artiodactyla, Delphinidae.